RNAcentral lists this ribosomal RNA (496 nucleotides) under uncultured bacterium. RNAcentral describes it as "partial 16S ribosomal RNA". It matches the Rfam family "Bacterial small subunit ribosomal RNA", at positions 29 to 507 of the family's 1533-position model. The record is from RNAcentral.
AUGAACGCUGGCGGCGUGCCUAAUCCCUGCAAGUCGAGCGAACAGAUAAGGAGCUUGCUCCUUUGACGUUAGCGGCGGACGGGUGAGUAACACGUGGGUAACCUACCUAUAAGACUGGGAUAACUUCGGGAAACCGGAGCUAAUACCGGAUAACAUUUGGAACCGCAUGGUUCUAAAGUGAAAGAUGGUUUUGCUAUCACUUAUAGAUGGACCCGCGCCGUAUUAGCUAGUUGGUAAGGUAACGGCUUACCAAGGCGACGAUACGUAGCCGACCUGAGAGGGUGAUCGGCCACACUGGAACUGAGACACGGUCCAGACUCCUACGGGAGGCAGCAGUAGGGAAUCUUCCGCAAUGGGCGAAAGCCUGACGGAGCAACGCCGCGUGAGUGAUGAAGGGUUUCGGCUCGUAAAACUCUGUUAUUAGGGAAGAACAAAUGUGUAAGUAACUGUGCACGUCUUGACGGUACCUAAUCAGAAAGCCACGGCUAACUACGUG